AUGUUUGUUGUUUGUCUUUGUAAAUAAGAAUUAUAACGAAUACGAAAGUAAAUAAGAAGAGAUCAUAGAAUAUGUUUUAAUAUAUAAUACGUAUAAAUAGAACCAGACGAAAGUCAAUUCUCCUUGAAUUCAGAUAUUUACUCUUUCUUUCUUUCUUUCUUUCUUUCUCUUUUUUUUUUAAUCUUUUUCUCCAAAUUAAAUAUCUCGACGCUCAAUAAACGAGCACAUUUCAGAUUUGAUCGAAUUAAUAUCGAAUUUUAUUGAUAACCGAAUAUUUUUGUUACGGGACGCGACGACAGAGGAAGAAACGAAAGUGCGCAGAAUCUUUCGAUGAAGAUUUUUCAAAUGACUUGAAUGAAUAUAAAAACACGAUAGAUAAAUAGAUAGAUAGAUAGAUAGAUAGAUAGAUAGAUCGAGAGAGAAAAAGGGAGAAUCGUGUACAUUAACAAACGUGAAAUACGUUAACUCUGAACAUUAUCGAAAGUAAAUUACGUUCCCGUAAAAGGAGAAUAAUUAAUGUAUGAACGCGAAGUAAAGGGACGCGGCUCGAAAGAAUAUUCAUUCUUGUAAGGAUCAUUUUGAGAAGUUUCGAGGACGAAAGUCGUUCGAACGUGCCUGCAACAGGUUGCAUAGCUGGUGAGAAGAGAGCUGAUGACGACGCCGCUCUCAUAUCCACUGUACGGUCGACGCACUCGCCUUUGCACGUACGCACACAGCAGAACAUGCGGCAUGCGUGCACGCGAGAAAGAGGAGGGGGAGAGAGAGAGAGAGAAAGAGAGAGAGAAAGGCGGUGCGCGUCCCUACUACUAUCGCCGGCACGCGAACCGAGAAUGCAAGGUUAUCCACGAAUAUUAGAUACACCUCGACAUCGUGUACGCGAGUUAUAACACGAUUUAUCGAACGCGCUCAUUCGUUCCCGGGCCACAUGUUGUCCGAUAUAUAUCGACGAAGACUCGUUUUACUUUCACUCCUACCACUUCAUUCCUUCGUCGUCAUUUGUAAAAGAAAAGAAAGAGAAUAAGCACGAUCAGCUCCUAUAUAUAUAUAUAUAUAUAUAUAUAUAUGCAUCUUUGAUUCGUAACGAUUCACAUGAUCUUGAACGCAAAAAUAAAAUCAGUAAGAAUAUGAACGACACCAAUACGACAACGACGCGCGAUAGCAAACAUAUAAUCGGAAGAAAUGCCAGUGCUAUUCGAUCGAGGAGGAGGGGAAUCAGAAAGAGACGGUUAAGGAGAGACAAAUAGAAAGAGAUAGAUAGAUAGAGAGAGAGAGAGAGAGAGAGAGAGAGAGAGAGAGAGAGAGAGAGAGAGAGAGAAAGAAAGAGAGAGAUGGAGAAGACGCAUCAUGGAAACGAGUCGGUAUAACAUGAGGCGUCACGCGAUGCUCGUUUCGAGCGAAAUAAUUUGUUCCCGUGGGCAAAAGACGAUGCUACGAUUCGCGUGAAUUCCAAUGGCGAGAGAAGGACAUGAACAGAGAGAGAAAGAGAAAGAGAGAGAGAGAGAGAGAGAGAGAGAGAGAGAAAAUCUAGCGAGUGACGAUGAAGACAGCGCUAUCCAACCGGAAACGCUCCUCUCGUUCGACGAAAGGUCUAGAGAUUACGAAUUGGAGAGGGGAGAUGAACCAAACGGAAUCUCAGGCCGUUGAAGAGAAAUCUACCGACUCGAUCUCUCGAUCUCUCUCUCUCUCUCUCUCUCUCUCUCUCUUCCUCUCUUUCUCUCUCUUUCUUCCUUGACGCGCCACGAUUUUCCAUCAUCCUUAGACGAUAAGAAUGGAAUGAACACAUGUAAAAAUGAUCACUAUGGAUUCCCGCGCAUAGAAUACACACACGAAAUCAGGGAAACGAAAGCAACAGGUCGUCGUCGUCUAUCCUGCGCGUAAACUCACUCACGACUACAGCGGCGCUCCAUUAUGGCCGACGCGCGAGCGAACGGAGCGACGUAGGACGCCGCUUUCGAAAGGCAACUCUCUAUUAUUCGAUUCGGAGACGAUGAAAAUAAUUUAAAUAAUUCAUCGAAGAAUUUUGGAUGAUUGUAACAACAAUGGUUUUCUUUCUUUUUUUGGACAACGUCGAAAUAUCAAAUGGAGGAGAAUACUAUUGAGAGAGGAAGGGGAGAGACCAUUCACGACUCUCGCGCUCUCUCUCACUUUCUCUCUCUCUCUCUCUCUCUCCCUCUCUCUCUCUCUCUCUCUCUCUCUCUCUCCCUCUCGCAAAUGAUAUUUUAAGGAUAAAACACUUGGAAAAGAGAAACAAAUAACAGAGGAACCACAAAGAAAAUCAAAACAAUUGCCACGACACGAACGCGCACAUCCCGAUACGAAAAGACAUUUUCGAGUAUGAAAUAACAAAAAAAAAAAAAAGAUGCUCUGGCAAGCUCAAAUCGAAUACAUGACCGGCAUCGGCGCAUCGACGAUGCCAGAGCCUGGCUGGGUCCUUGAAAACUGAAAUCGUGCCCUUUGAAAGAAAUCUGUUCGGCAGUUGCCGUUGGAGGGAGAUUCUCCUUCUCUCUCUCUUACACACUUCUCCUUCUUCCCCUUGCCAGCUCGUCAUUCUCUCUUUCUUUUUCACGCGCACAUACAUGUAUACAUACAUACAUGUCCUCCCUUCUCUCACUCGUUGGAGAAGAACAUAACCGACCGCUCUCCAUCUCUCCUACCCUUCCGCCUGUCUAGUGUCCUUUGUGGGAGAGCGUUCGAGCGAGAGCGAACCGGAGGGAGAGAAAUAAUGGCGGGGCGAUCUACCUGGACGAUUUUUAUGGCGGGAAUUACGGUGCUCGGUGAGAUCCUGCAACGACAACGCCUCGUCUCACCUCACCUCGCAAUGCUUCAUUACGAAUUGAGAAAACACCUGCACCAAGGAGAUAUUUCUUCUCUUACGGAAAGAGGAAGAAUAAAAUAAAAAAAGGACAUAGAAUAAAAAGGGAUCUUUGUGGAUUUUUGCCGAUUUUCACGAUUCAACUUACAAUUAUUUACCGUUUAAUCACGAUCGUGCAUUUUCACGAGCAAUCUACAAAAAGUUCGUUUACAAUUGUGAAUAUUAAAAUUCACUUUCGGUUUCCAACACUGGAAACCGAAUUUAUACUUGAGAUCGUACUAAAUAAAGAUUUUGGAAAAGUCUACGUUAAAUGAAGAUGUACGUACGAAGGAAACGACUGACUCGUUAAACGAUCACACGAGAACCGACCAUCAACUUGACUGAAGAAUAGCCUUAUGGACGAGCGUGGAACCAGUGCCAGGGACAGUGGCAGUGGCCAGGGCUGUACUAAGCGAUCAAAUUGCCCCAUUUAUUUAUCUAAUAACAUUCAACUAUUUCUAUACCAUCGACUUUUGUUAUUUUCUAUUAAAAUAGAGCAAAUUUUAUCUUUUUUCUGGCAUAGUUGUCGAAAUGUUGCUACAUAGAUAAAACAUUUUAUAAAUGGAAUUAAUAUUAUAAUAAAUGGAAAAAACAAAACAAAAAAAAAUGAAUAAAGUUAAAACUUAAAA
This is a long non-coding RNA of Vespa mandarinia (Asian giant hornet), 3480 nucleotides long. Lineage: Eukaryota; Metazoa; Arthropoda; Insecta; Hymenoptera; Vespidae. The record is from RefSeq and is a predicted model, not a curated record.